Molecule: ribosomal RNA, 468 nt
Filed under: uncultured bacterium
Lineage: Bacteria
Description: partial 16S ribosomal RNA
Rfam family: Bacterial small subunit ribosomal RNA
Source: RNAcentral
GACGAACGCUGGCGGCGCGCCUAACACAUGCAAGUCGAACGGAGCUGAGAGAAGCUUGCUUUUCUUAGCUUAGUGGCGAACGGGUGAGUAACGCGUGAGUAACCUGCCCUGGAGUGGGGGACAACAGUUGGAAACGACUGCUAAUACCGCAUAAGCCCACGAUCCGGCAUCGGAUUGAGGGAAAAGGAUUUAUUCGCUUCAGGAUGGACUCGCGUCCAAUUAGCUAGUUGGCGAGGUAACGGCCCACCAAGGCGACGAUUGGUAGCCGGACUGAGAGGUUGAACGGCCACAUUGGGACUGAGACACGGCCCAGACUCCUACGGGAGGCAGCAGUGGGGGAUAUUGCACAAUGGGGGAAACCCUGAUGCAGCGACGCCGCGUGGAGGAAGAAGGUUUUCGGAUUGUAAACUCCUGUCGUUAGGGACGAUAAUGACGGUACCUAACAAGAAAGCACCGGCUAACUACGUG